Molecule: ribosomal RNA, 394 nt
Filed under: uncultured bacterium
Lineage: Bacteria
Description: bacterial SSU rRNA
Rfam family: Bacterial small subunit ribosomal RNA
Source: RNAcentral
GUGCCAGCAGCCGCGGUAAGACGAACCGUGCGAACGUUGUUCGGAUUCACUGGGCUUAAAGGGCGCGUAGGCGGGCGCGUAAGUCUCGGGUGAAAUCCCCCGGCCCAACCGGGGAAGUGCCUGGGAUACUGCGUGUCUGGAGGGAGGUAGGGGCCGACGGAACUUCCGGUGGAGCGGUGAAAUGCGUAGAGAUCGGAAGGAACGCCGGUGGCGAAAGCGGUCGGCUGGACCUCUUCUGACGCUGAGGCGCGAAAGCCAGGGGAGCGAACGGGAUUAGAUACCCCGGUAGUCCUGGCCCUAAACGAUGGGUACUAGGCCGUGGGCUUGACAUGGGCUCACAGCCGGAGCAAAAGUUCUAAGUACCCCGCCUGGGGAGUAUGGCCGCAAGGCUGAA